Molecule: long non-coding RNA, 2658 nt
Organism: Arvicola amphibius (Eurasian water vole)
Lineage: Eukaryota; Metazoa; Chordata; Mammalia; Rodentia; Cricetidae
Exons: 5
Source: RefSeq, a predicted model, not a curated record
GGGCGGGCGUAUGGCGACCAGGCCUAGAAGGCCACGGGCGCCGUGGGUGCCUUAAGGGUCAAUCUUUUUGAUGCCCUUAAUCGCCAAAGCCAAGUGGGAAGGUCGGGGUCUCCCAUGAUCCACCUCUUGGGGUUAUAAUGGCGGUUGGCUAACCCUCUUUACAGAGAUGGCUACCGCUGAGGCACCGUGAAGAAGCAUUUCCAGGCCUGGAGAUGGUGAUCCAGGCCCCUGGAGAGAGAAAGGCGAGCAGGACAGAAUGGACAGAGGUCAUUUUCCAGGGAUGCUGAACCCUGCACAAGGUGGAAGUUACUGAGCAAGUGAGUUGGAUGAGUGGGGCUAAGUGCUGAGGCUGUUGUACGCCAGCAGCAUGGCUCAAGAGGGCCCUGCAGAUGAGCCAGGUGUUGGAGAAGCUGAGCAGCACAAAAGAUAACUGGAUGGCCUGGCCCAAGGACUUGGGAAACCCAGAAUGGACCUAGGCGCACAGUGUUGGACCUCUCCAGACAAGUCUGAUCCGCCAAACCGGCUGCGCCAAAAGGUGCUCAGUGGGAAGCCGACUCACCCUCUGGCUCUGCAGAGAGUGGCCCCACUGCGCAAGAACAGCUGGAGCCGAAAAGGAUGAACCUUAUGAGGUGAGAAGCUGGGUCCGGAGACCCCAGUCUCACCUCGGGGAGAAAAGAAGAGAUGCACCUACCUUCCCGAUCACUACGAACUUUCAACAGCUCCGCGCCUCAGCUUGCGUCUCAUCGCACUUCAUCCAACUCAGAUCUUACAUGGGAAAAGCAGGUGCAUCAACCAGAACAUCAUGGCUAGGGGGCGGCCAGAGACCACUAGAUCGUGGUAUUGGACUCCACAGGCUAAGAAAUUGGAGGUCCUCAGCCCGGGAAAACCUCAUGAAUUAGGUAAGUCCCGGAGGGGACGGAUCUCAGAUCCCUGUGGUGGGAAGUGGUAAGUUUUCAGGUUCCACCUGUGUGUGACCGCUGCAGCUGGGGUGGGGGUGGGGGGUUCGUUUAUCUUGCCUUGCUGUUAGUUAAAUAUGGAGGGGUUUUUUUGUUUGGUUUUUGUUUUGUUUUGUUUUGUUUGGCCAUAGAGACAAACAGAGCUGUGUUCCUGGAAUGCAUAAAGUCCCGGGAGGGUGGUUUUACAUGGGACACAUGUCACAGGUUGGGCUUUUGUUGUUGUUGUUGUUGUUGUUGUUUGUUUGUUUGUUUGUUUUUUAGUCCAUGUGAAGAAAUUCGAAGAAGAGGUUCUGCUGCCUCUCCAAACUCUGCUCCCCCAGGAUUCCUUCCUGGAGGUGGAAUUGUCAGUCAUGUCCUAAGCCAGUGCUAUCCAUAGGUCACUAACCCUCACACCCUCAGCACCAGACUGCAUUAAAGCUUCCAGAUGCUCUAAUUAAGGGCUGAGUAAGAGCUCAGCCACUGCUGGAUGGGUUGAGGAUUUUGUUUCUGUCCUUUGGCUGUGUCUGUACUGCAUCUUGUGGUCCAGGAGUUGGUAUGUUGUGAGCCCUGAAGUGCUAAAUGCUCUGGUAGAGAGGGUGGUUUAGCAAAGCUUGGAAACAGCUCAUGGCUGUUUCAGCUGUGCCUGCUGACUCUAGGGCACUGCCUGGGAUACCCUGCUCGGGGCUGCUGAAUUUUGAGACCUAAGAUCCCCUUUCCUGCCUGGUGGGGGAUGUCUGAGGGAUCUGACCACUCUCACAUGCCUACCCCAGUUUUUCAAUUAGCACAGCUCUGCCAGCGAGCCUUUGGUGCACAGAGACAUUGGUCAAGCUGAUUUUAAGGCACAUUGAGGGAGCGCUCCAGGCUGUGUGGGUGCUGGUAAAUGCCCUUUUGAUGGGAACUGAUGGCAGCUGUCAGCAGUGAGGCGGGUUAUAUGGGUUAUGGUUCUUUAACAUAUGGAGGGAAGUGCCUCAUUUUUCAGAUGGAGUGCUUUAUGCCUGUAACAGAGAUGGCAGCCCAAAGCCAAUUCACUAAUACCAAUACACUGAGAUUGCCUGCAUUAUUAAAAAAUAUGCAUUACAUAAUACAUAUUUUUGGACUAGGAUUCUGCAUUAGCAAUGCUCUUUCUUUGCAAAAUGCAUUUUAAUCAGUCAAUGGACAUUUAACAAAACACUGCAUUUUCAAGCCCUGGUUUUAGGUAUAGUUACAAAUUCAUUUCAGCAUGUGUUCAGCACCGAUUCCAGGAGGAACAGGGGCUGCGCUGAAGACAGUUCCAUCUUGCACUUAGUGCUGAGGUCGAGCAAAUGGAUCUGCACAGAAAAUGCUCUUUAAAAUGUAUUAUGUGUAUGACUUUAAAAAGUGCUUGCUGCAGAGUGAAUUUCAAAAGGGACCAAGUGGGUGAUGAACGUCCUCGGUUGUUAUCAGGCUAAGAACAAGGGCUUUGUCUGUGUCUGCUGGUAAAUAAAGUGUGUUCAUGUGUUAACCUGCAUGCUCUGCCAGAGGCAGGCUCCUAAACCAGCUGUACAAGAAAGCAGUUUCCAGCUCAUUAGAGUAUCAUACAGUGAGGUUUUAUUUAGAUGUGUGGUAAAGGGGAUUGUCCUUUGGAAGAGGCUUUAGAGUCCCUUUCCAUAGCUCCAGAGGGUGGUGUUUAUAGAAGGCUGCAGCCCGAGGAGGAAUAUUCUAGCAAUCAGGGCUCUGAAGUGGAAUGCGCUCCACAAAGGACAGA